Molecule: ribosomal RNA, 1114 nt
Filed under: Cellulophaga sp. 2_MG-2023
Lineage: Bacteria; Pseudomonadati; Bacteroidota; Flavobacteriia; Flavobacteriales; Flavobacteriaceae
Description: partial 23S ribosomal RNA
Rfam family: Bacterial large subunit ribosomal RNA
Source: RNAcentral
UGACAAGUUAUAAAAGGGCGUAUGGGGAAUGCCUAGGCUCUCAGAGGCGAAGAAGGACGCGAUAAGCUGCGAAAAUUUGCGGGGAUCAGCACAUAUGAUAUGAUCCGCAAGUAUCCGAAUGGGGCAACCCGGCAUAUUGAAGAUAUGUCAUCUCGAAAGAGAAGCAAACCCGGAGAACUGAAACAUCUAAGUACCCGGAGGAGGAGAAAACAAAAGUGAUUCCGUUAGUAGUGGCGAGCGAACGCGGAUUAGUCCAAACCAAUAUUGUUUCGGCAAUAUUGGGGUUGUAGGACCACGACAUUUGGUGUGUUAUGAAUUAGAAUACGUUGGAAAGCGUAGCAGUAUCAGGUGAUAGCCCUGUAUAAGUAAAGACCAUUACCGAUAGUGGUAUCCUGAGUAGCACGGGGCACGUGAAACCUUGUGUGAAUUUGGCGGGACCAUCCGUUAAGACUAAAUACUCCUGAGAGACCGAUAGUGAACCAGUACCGUGAGGGAAAGGUGAAAAGAACCCUGAACAAGGGAGUGAAAAAGAUCCUGAAACCAUACGCUUACAAGCGGUCGGAGCCCUUUAGGGGGUGACGGCGUGCCUUUUGCAUAAUGAGCCUACGAGUUACUUUUACCAGCAAGGUUAAGGUCUUAUGGACCGGAGCCGUAGCGAAAGCGAGUCUGAAUAGGGCGACCAUAGUUGGUAGUAGUAGACGCGAAACCGUGUGAUCUACCCAUGGGCAGGUUGAAGCUUUGUUAACCCAAAGUGGAGGACCGAACCCGUUGACGUUGAAAAGUCUUGGGAUGACCUGUGGGUAGGGGUGAAAGGCCAAUCAAACUCGGAAAUAGCUCGUACUCCCCGAAAUGCAUUUAGGUGCAGCGUGCAUAUAGUUUUAUAGAGGUAGAGCUACUGAUUGGAUGCGGGGGCUUCACCGCCUACCAAUUCCUGACAAACUCCGAAUGCUAUAAAAUGUUUAUGCGCAGUGAGGGCAUGGGUGCUAAGGUCCAUGUCCGAGAGGGAAAGAACCCAGAUCAUCAGCUAAGGUCCCAAAGUAUAUACUAAGUUGAAAAAACGAGGUCCAACUGCACAGACAGCCAGGAUGUUGGCUUGGAAGCAGCCAUUCAUUUA